AGGUUUGCUGGAGUUUGGAUUUACUACUGAGUCAUAUUUGGAGCAUGCUGGAAUCUUACAACUGAGAUUACCGAGUCAGAAACUUGCAAACAUGAGUAACAUGGCCCUGCUCUGGAGACUACUGGGAACACAAACACAGCCAUUUAAGACAUCUACCUGCUUCUCCUUUGCCUUCCAUCAUGACUGAAAGUUGUCUGAGGUCUCCCAGCCACGUGUCCUGUACAGCCUGUGGAACUAUGUAGAAAGGAAAAAGGGAGAGAAAUGGAGACAUUUAUUGAAUCCAGGCACCAUGCUGUGGAUUGCUAAAUACAGCUUCGUAAUUUGCAUCUAGUUAUCUGGUCUUCCAAGCUAGCUUUUUCAAGUAUUUUUACCUUUACACAUAAAGUUCUAUUGGAGAUGUACUUCACCCUUUUCUGCACUAAAGAGUUUAAUUUUUCAA
Molecule: long non-coding RNA, 439 nt
Filed under: Homo sapiens (human)
Lineage: Eukaryota; Metazoa; Chordata; Mammalia; Primates; Hominidae
Description: non-protein coding LINC02055:24
Source: RNAcentral